This 1927-nucleotide long non-coding RNA is filed under the name Triticum aestivum (bread wheat). RNAcentral describes it as "long non-coding RNA (TAES_LNC024708)". Lineage: Eukaryota; Viridiplantae; Streptophyta; Magnoliopsida; Poales; Poaceae. The record is from RNAcentral.
GGGUCUACUUCAGCGUCGUACCCUACAUGAGCUUCUAUACUCCAGGUAUGGUCCUAGCCCUUCCUUCUGGUCUGUUAUCCUGCGAUUUCUUUACAGCAUUUAUAUGUUCGCUUAAUUGGUUGGUUUAUGGUUUGCGAACAAUUGCUCAUAAUUUAAGUAAUGUGUGUUGGUUUGAUUUAUGUAUGUGCUAGUAUAUGACAUUGGAAAACAGAACAUGAUUUUUGUUAUGAGAUUCAACUUGUUAAGGAGCACAACCAAGCACUAGUGGAAUUGCAAAAUAUGCUGUCAAAUCUGUUGAUGUAGUAUUACCCUGUUACCUUGCUUCAGAUUUUCUUGAAAAAAAUAACAGUUUGUUAUUUUCUGGCAUAGCAGAAGUUCACACCUCAACGUAGUCUUGUAACACUUGUAAUGAGUACAAGCACUUAGUUCUUCAAUGUAGGAUGCUAGUUGGACAGUUACUUAUGAGUUUUUAUGCAUGGUAUCUUUUCUGAUCGUGGCACAUUGUUACCGUGGAAGUCACUACAAUCAAUUGGGGCUGUCUCGUUGAAUCCACCCUGAUCGUACUGUCAGAAUUCUGUACUUCAGUUUAUUGUGUCAGGCAUAUUAGAGUACUGCUUGGUCUAUGCUCGAUUCAGUUACUUGGAACUACAAUGUUUACUCUAUGUUGUUUCUCUUUCCUGAAAUUUAAUAUAACUCUAUUACAGUAUUAUUGUUGCCUCCAAAAGUGCUAUCAAGUAUCAGCACCAAACCUUUUGGACAUACAAUUGGAGAUACUAGUAGCCGAGUCCUAAUUUGUGUUAAUUUUUUUAUUUUGGAGUUAAGUCUGGUUGUUCUUCUGCUAUUAUAUAGAUCAGCCCAUGGGAAGCCCAAUUGCAUCACUAGCCCUUAAAUUUCUACUUUUCGCUAGAGCCAUUGAUUGGUCAAAUACUUUUCUUUUCUUGAAUGCUUAGAAGAACUGCACAUCAUUGUACUACAGACGGAAUAAGAAUGUCCAUACGAUGGGAAGGGGAAGGAAAUAGAGAACAGAAAAACACUACUCCAAGCCUGUCAUAACAGGGAACACCGAGAUAAAACAAAAAUACUACUGACUACAAAAAUGUGAAGUUUGAUGUAAUCGAUGAAGAGUGAAGUGGGCGCUAGCUGUUUGCUAAAUACUACUACAACAACCUCAUACAUAUCUGUUGUGUUGCAUUUUCUUUACUGUAUCUGUGUCUGCUUAGUUUGUUUGUUCUGGUUUGUGAACAGCUUCAACAAACUCAAACUGUAAUUAUUUACUCCCUCUGUCCCAAAAUAAGUGUCGUGGCUUUAGUUAAAUUUGUUGAACUUAUUUUUGGACGGAGGGAGUAGUUGUUAUCUUCACAUGUAGAGAUUGCCGCAAACUGAAUACAUGUCCAUCGGAAACUGACCUUAAUUUGAAUUCUGUGAUUUCAAUUGUUAUUAUGGACCGCAUUGGUAAAAAAUACAAAUAUGCAUGCAAACUUUUAAAUCUCAUAUGAUGUUCUUACUUUGUUUCAGAUAAUCUUUUCAGAACUAUUCUAUUGUUAUUCUGGUAUAUCUGAAGCUCACAUCUGGAGAUCAUUUUCUAUUAUUUUGUGAAGCAUUUUUUGAUCUCGUAUUAUGCUGUACUUGUAUAUAGCAAAUCAAACUGCAAAUGCUGACUUCGAAUGUUGGUUUUGAUUUUUGUGCAUAAUAACUUCUCAGAUCGUGGUAGAUUUCCAUCCCUGGCGGAGAUAACUGAUGUCUGAUAUGCGCCGCUCAAGAGCAAGAGUGCAAGACCUUGCGAAAUGGAUGAAGCCAUUAUCAUAAAUGUACUGCUGGUGGCUUCUUGCAGAGCUACCGCUAUCAAAUCCUUUUUAUUUUCUGUUGAGUAGGCAAAGCAUGACUGUUGCAAGUAAUUAUGACCAAAACCAAGGAUGCAUAAUUUGAA